This 2357-nucleotide long non-coding RNA is filed under the name Podarcis lilfordi (Lilford's wall lizard). Lineage: Eukaryota; Metazoa; Chordata; Lepidosauria; Squamata; Lacertidae. The record is from RNAcentral.
GAAAAAUAAUGUGGAUGAUGUAUUUUUGUUAAAAUUAUUGUGCUGAAAUUUCCAAUAAAAAAAAAAAAAAAACCCCAACAAAGGUUUUAUUGUGGCCCCAGGAACAGACUGGGGGAAAGGGUCUAAUUUCUAAACUCUUUAGACAGUCCCUGGCGACACCCGCCUAAUGUAAGGUUACCAGACGUUUCUGGGGACAGUCCCCGGAUUUAUAGAUCAGUCCCCAUACAAAAUCCAUUGAAAUGGAAAAGAGUCCCUGGACUCAUUGAAAAAAAUCUGGUAACAACCUAAUGCAUGACUGGUUGCUUUGCACCAGGCAGUGAAUCACAAUGCAGGUUUGAGGUUCCUGGCCUGUCUUGUGAUGCGGACUCAAGCUCAGAGCAGGAGACACUAAGGAACGUACAUAACAGGACCAGUAUGCUAUGUUCUAGAGCUAAGUCCACAGGAAAUGCCAACAUUCACUUACUGCCAGGAGUUUUCCAGAUGCCAUAUUCUAUACCGACGAAGCAAGGGUCACUACAGCAAACCUCUGCAAGGCUCUACACGCUGAGGAUGCCAGAACCUCCGUUCAAACGGCCACACACUUUGUUGCUGGGCAACAACCCUUGGUGACAUGGAAUGCACGGCCACCGUGCCAAGAUUCUAGGAGAGACAGUGUGUCAUGGUAGACUUGGACCGGGGAAAGCCCCACUCAGCCAGGAGACUCCCUGGAUGACCUUGGGGUAGUCACUCACUUUCAGCCUAACUGGCCUCACCAGAUUCUUGUGAGGAGAAGACAGGGAGGAGAAAUAUGGACCUUACCUUGAGAGAAAGGCAGGAUAUACAUGUCAUAAACCACCAGUUGUGAAAAGCUGACCCAUACCAGCUGCACAGUAUUUCUUCCACAGGAUUUUGUACUUGAUGGUUCCCUAUGCUAGACUGAGAAUAUCCCUUCCAACUUGCCUGCAUUUAGACACAGCCACAAGAUUGAGAGUGAAGUCAAUUUGGGUUUAAGCAAGGCCCAAGGCUUAAUGGCUUUACUGAGGCCUCAGAAACAGACUGGGGAAACAGGGAAAGGGUCUGAUUUAUAUAAACCUCAGCCAUCCCCUGGCAACACCCACCUAGCGCAUGACUGGCUGCAUUGUGAUGUGGACUCAAGCUCAGAGGAGACAGAAAGCACCUGCUGAAGUCCCUGCAGGCAGCAUUGAAUACAACCCUGUGUUUUCAGCAGGGGCUGUUAAGUGCUGAAGGGACAAGAAGCUGAGUUUUUCUAUUGUCCCCACCUCCCACAGGCAAGAAGACCCUUUUCAGUCCUGCUUCCCAGUGUGAACAGGAUGGAAGACGUUGGCAAAGAUCUUUCUCUUUAUUAUUUACAUUGGCUAAGCAGUCCCAAUAGCCUGGUUCCUGCAGGUAAGAUGUAUUUUGAGAGAACUGACGGAGCAUCUUCUAUUCACAUGGGGAAGUGGCGUGGGACAGUGAAAAAGGGCUGUUGUGAGCAUCCCCAUCUCUGGGUGGCAGGAGACUCCAGGGGUAUCUGUGCUUACCCAGGGUUCUGUUUCCUUGGAAUGAAGACAACAUGUCUUUUGGCAAGCCUGAAAGUGAAUGCUGUUUCCUGUUCUGCCCCCCCCCCCCCCGGGCAAAUAAGGUGUAUCCACAAAAAUUCUGGGCAAUGCACGCCAUAUUUAUUUUGAAAUGUUACUUGUUUAAUAACUUUUUUAUUAACCAUUGAGAAAAGAAGCAGGAAGACUCAACCUGGGAUGGCAGAACCCCUUCAGACAGUCCUGCUUCCUUGUACAGUCUAAGUAACAGUAAUAAACGAAAAUCUGCCCUUAUUCCCUUAUGGGGGACACAAGAGCCCUUAUAGAGUCCUUUGCAGGUUCUCCAUUGGUAGGAGAAAAUAACAGAGGCCAACCAGAGAAUAUUGAGAAGCAGAGCAGCUAGUAAGCCUGAUCUUUAUUGAACUGUUGCAACAGGAUGCCACCUUCACAUGCAGGAGGCGGGGGACCUCGUACCAAGGAGUGCCCGCCCUUAUAUAGACAUUUUAAAUUGCCCGCCCUGGAGUCCAAGACCACACCCAGAAACAUCAUACAUACAUCACAGAAAGGGCGGGCUACAACAGAAAUCUGAGUGCGUUGUUUACCUCCUGUCUGGCAGGUUACCUUUUAAUGCUUACUUGAUUGGAUAUCCUAGGGAGCCUGGCCAGUCUUUUGUAAUGAUAAAUACCGUAUUUUUCACUCUAUAACACACACCCGACCAUAACACGCACGUAGUUUUUAGAGGAGGAAAACAAGAAAAAAAAAUAUUCUAAAUGAAACAGUGGAUGUAUGAUUUUUGUGGUUCAUGCUGUGGCCACAGACAUGUGAUCUGACAGUGAGUUUGGU